UCUGGAGAACGGGAGGCAGCAAUGGGGAAUUUUGGACAAUGGGCGCAAGCCUGAUCCAGCCAUGCCGCGUGUCUGAAGAAGGCCUUCGGGUUGUAAAGGACUUUUGUCAGGGAAGAAAAGGACAGGGUUAAUACCCCUGUCUGAUGACGGUACCUGAAGAAUAAGCACCGGCUAACUACGUGCCAGCAGCCGCGGUAAUACGUAGGGUGCGAGCGUUAAUCGGAAUUUCUGGGCGUAAAGCGAGCGCAGACGGUUACUUAAGCAGGAUGUGAAAUCCCCGGGCUCAACCUGGGAACUGCGUUCUGAACUGGGUGACUAGAGUGUGUCAGAGGGAGGUAGAAUUCCACGUGUAGCAGUGAAAUGCGUAGAGAUGUGGAGGAAUACCGAUGGCGAAGGCAGCCUCCUGGGAUAACACUGACGUUCAUGCUCGAAAGCGUGGGUAGCAAACAGGAUUAGAAACCCCGGUAGUCCAGAAGUG
This 478-nucleotide ribosomal RNA is filed under the name uncultured bacterium. Its description in RNAcentral is "bacterial SSU rRNA". It matches the Rfam family "Bacterial small subunit ribosomal RNA", at positions 337 to 804 of the family's 1533-position model. The record is from RNAcentral.